This 305-nucleotide ribosomal RNA is filed under the name uncultured bacterium. RNAcentral describes it as "bacterial SSU rRNA". It matches the Rfam family "Bacterial small subunit ribosomal RNA", at positions 334 to 653 of the family's 1533-position model. The record is from RNAcentral.
UUCGCCUACGGGAGGCAGCAGUGGGGAAUAUUGCACAAUGGGGGAAACCCUGAUGCAGCAACGCCGCGUGAAGGAAGACGGUUUUCGGAUUGUAAACUUCUAUCAAUCGGGAAGAAAGAAAUGACGGUACCUAAAUAAGAAGCCCCGGCUAACUACGUGCCAGCAGCCGCGGUAAUACGUAGGGGGCAAGCGUUAUCCGGAUUUGCUGGGUGUAAAGGGAGCGUAGACGGUUAUGUAAGUCUGGAGUGAAAGCCCGGGGCCCAACCCCGGGACUGCUUUGGAAACUGUGUAACUGGAGUACAGGG